CAGCCGCCACGGUAAUACGUAGGGCGCAAGCGUUAUCCGGAAUUAUUGGGCGUAAAGAGCUCGUAGGCGGUUUGUCGCGUCUGCCGUGAAAGUCCGGGGCUCAACCCCGGAUCUGCGGUGGGUACGGGCAGACUAGAGUGAUGUAGGGGAGACUGGAAUUCCUGGUGUAGCGGUGAAAUGCGCAGAUAUCAGGAGGAACACCGAUGGCGAAGGCAGGUCUCUGGGCAUUAACUGACGCUGAGGAGCGAAAGCAUGGGGAGCGAACAGGAUUAGAUACCCGCGUAGUCCCUGUCUCUUAUAC
Molecule: ribosomal RNA, 301 nt
Filed under: uncultured bacterium
Lineage: Bacteria
Description: partial 16S ribosomal RNA
Rfam family: Bacterial small subunit ribosomal RNA
Source: RNAcentral